UGAGGAAUAUUGGACAAUGGAGGCAACUCUGAUCCAGCCAUGCCGCGUGAAGGACUAAGGCCCUAUGGGCUGUAAACUUCUUUAGACGCAGAGCAAUAAGGGCCACGUGUGGUCCGAUGAGAGUAUGCGUAGAAUAAGGACCGGCUAAUUCCGUGCCAGCAGCCGCGGUAAUACGGAAGGUCCGGGCGUUAUCCGGAUUUAUUGGGUUUAAAGGGAGCGCAGGCGGUCUUAUAAGCGUGACGUGAAAUGCAGCGGCUCAACCGUAUGAUGUGCGUCGCGAACUGUGAGACUUGAGUGUAUUCGAUGUCAGCGGAAUUUGUGGUGUAGCGGUGAAAUGCUUAGAUAUCACGAAGAACUCCGAUUGCGAAGGCAGCUGACAAGGCUACAACUGACGCUAAAGCUCGAAAGUGCGGGUAUCGAACAGGAUUAGAUA
RNAcentral lists this ribosomal RNA (433 nucleotides) under uncultured Prevotella sp. RNAcentral's name for it is "bacterial SSU rRNA". It matches the Rfam family "Bacterial small subunit ribosomal RNA", at positions 355 to 784 of the family's 1533-position model. The record is from RNAcentral. Lineage: Bacteria; Pseudomonadati; Bacteroidota; Bacteroidia; Bacteroidales; Prevotellaceae.